CCAGACUCCUACGGGAGGCAGCAGUGGGGAAUAUUGCACAAUGGGGGGAACCCUGAUGCAGCGACGCCGCGUGAGUGAAGAAGUAUUUCGGUAUGUAAAGCUCUAUCAGCAGGGAAGAAGAUGACGGUACCUGACUAAGAAGCCCCGGCUAACUACGUGCCAGCAGCCGCGGUAAUACGUAGGGGGCAAGCGUUAUCCGGAUUUACUGGGUGUAAAGGGAGCGUAGACGGCAGGGCAAGUCUGGAGUGAAAGCCCGGGGCCCAACCCCGGGACUGCUUUGGAAACUGCCAUGCUAGAGUGCUGGAGAGGUAAGCGGAAUUCCUAGUGUAGCGGUGAAAUGCGUAGAUAUCACGCAGAACUCCGAUUGCGAAGGCAGCAUACCGGCGCGCAACUGACGCUCAUGCACGAAAGCGUGGGUAUCGAACAGGAUUAGAUACCCGAGUA
This 444-nucleotide ribosomal RNA is filed under the name uncultured bacterium. RNAcentral describes it as "bacterial SSU rRNA". It matches the Rfam family "Bacterial small subunit ribosomal RNA", at positions 331 to 792 of the family's 1533-position model. The record is from RNAcentral.